GUGUUCACUUCAGCGGCACAUAUACUAAAAUUGGAACAAUACAGAGAAGAUGAACAUGACCCCUUCUGCAAGAAUAACAUGGAAAUCUGUGAAGUGAAAUAAAUAAAU
This is a small nuclear RNA of Molossus molossus (Pallas's mastiff bat), 108 nucleotides long. The record is from RefSeq and is a predicted model, not a curated record. NCBI's taxonomy places the organism in Eukaryota, Metazoa, Chordata, Mammalia, Chiroptera, Molossidae.